UCCUACUCCUGCACCUACAAAUUUUCAAACUUUCCUCCACGUUAGCGCAUUUGGUUCAAUGGACACAGUCGUUUCUUCAGUCUAGAAUGUUGAAAGUAGGCUAUUGUCUAUGUUCAUUGGUGAAGAAGACAAGAAAUAUAUUUUACUUGUCAAAAGUCUUAGCUCUUUUCUAGGUUAAAAAUAUGACCAAAUCCCACAUAAGUUUCACUUCAAUGAAGAUUACAAAACCAGAAUGGAUUUUCGAAAGUUGUUCCUGUGUUCUUCUCUUCUAGUCCUCCAUUU
RNAcentral lists this unclassified non-coding RNA (282 nucleotides) under Hevea brasiliensis (rubber tree). The record is from RNAcentral. Lineage: Eukaryota; Viridiplantae; Streptophyta; Magnoliopsida; Malpighiales; Euphorbiaceae.